This 447-nucleotide ribosomal RNA is filed under the name uncultured bacterium. Its description in RNAcentral is "bacterial SSU rRNA". It matches the Rfam family "Bacterial small subunit ribosomal RNA", at positions 329 to 793 of the family's 1533-position model. The record is from RNAcentral.
GGCCAGACUCCUACGGGAGGCAGCAGUGGGGAAUAUUGCACAAUGGGGGAAACCCUGAUGCAGCGACGCCGCGUGAGUGAAGAAGUAUUUCGGUAUGUAAAGCUCUAUCAGCAGGGAAGAAAAUGACGGUACCUGACUAAGAAGCCCCGGCUAACUACGUGCCAGCAGCCGCGGUAAUACGUAGGGGGCAAGCGUUAUCCGGAUUUACUGGGUGUAAAGGGAGCGUAGACGGCAUGGCAAGUCAGAUGUGAAAGCCCGGGGCUCAACCCCGGGACUGCAUUUGAAACUGUCAGGCUGGAGUGCAGGAGAGGUAAGUGGAAUUCCUAGUGUAGCGGUGAAAUGCGUAGAUAUUAGGAGGAACACCAGUGGCGAAGGCGGCUUACUGGACUGUAACUGACGUUGAGGCUCGAAAGCGUGGGGAGCAAACAGGAUUAGAUACCCCAGUAA